Molecule: transfer RNA, 73 nt
Filed under: Diaphorina citri (Asian citrus psyllid)
Lineage: Eukaryota; Metazoa; Arthropoda; Insecta; Hemiptera; Psyllidae
Rfam family: tRNA
About the family: Transfer RNA (tRNA) molecules are approximately 80 nucleotides in length. Their secondary structure includes four short double-helical elements and three loops (D, anti-codon, and T loops).
Source: Rfam by way of RNAcentral
GCCUAGUUAGCUUGGUUGGUAGCGCGUCUGCCUUGUAAGCGCUAGGCCGCGGGUUCGAUUCCCGCCCGGGGUU